UUACAUGUAAAUCUGCAGCAGAAGAGUAGUGGCUGGCGUCCCUGCUGGUGUCUUCCUGGUGUGGAAUUUAGGCAAAACUUACAAUAUUGUCCUGGGAUCUGGGCAAGUUGUGUUGGGGAUGGACAUGGGUCUCAGAGAGAUGUGUGUUGGCGAGAAACGGACAGUGAUCAUUCCGCCCCACCUGGGCUAUGGGGAAGCUGGCGUGGAUGGAGAAGUGCCCGGCAGUGCCGUAUUAGUGUUUGACAUCGAGCUGCUGGAGCUGGUGGCCGGCCUUCCCGAGGGGUACAUGUUCAUAUGGAAUGGUGAGGUGUCACCCAACCUCUUUGAAGAAAUUGACAAGGAUGGCAACGGAGAAGUCCUCCUGGAAGAGUUCUCAGAGUACAUUCAUGCCCAGGUGGCAUCUGGCAAAGGGAAACUCGCCCCUGGCUUUGAUGCUGAGCUGAUUGUGAAGAAUAUGUUCACCAACCAGGACCGGAAUGGAGAUGGGAAGGUCAUAGCUGAGGAAUUUAAACUCAAAGACCAGGAAGCCAAACACGAUGAACUCUAAACGAACCAGAUGG
Molecule: small RNA, 560 nt
Filed under: Pongo abelii (Sumatran orangutan)
Lineage: Eukaryota; Metazoa; Chordata; Mammalia; Primates; Hominidae
Description: processed transcript
Source: RNAcentral